CCUACGGGAGGCUGCAGUGAGGAAUAUUGGGCAAUGCCCGCAAGGGUGACCCAGCAACGCCGCGUGGAGGAUGAAGGCCGUAAGGUUGUAAACUCCUGUUAGAGGAGAAGAAUAGUACCGAUUGGAUCGGUAUUUGACUGUACCCUCAGAGAAAGCCCCGGCUAACUACGUGCCAGCAGCCGCGGUAAUACGUAGGGGGCAAGCGUUGUCCGGAGUUACUGGGUGGAAAGCGCGCGCGCAAGUCAGAGCAGAAAUCCUACAGCUUAACUGUAGAACUGCCGUUGAUACUGUUAUUCUUGAGUUCGGGAGAGAGAGACGGAAUGCCAGGUGUAGUGGUGAAAUACGUAGAUAUCUGGAAGAACACCAGUUGCGAAGGCGGUCUCUUGGUCCGAUACUGACGCUGAGGCGCGAAAGCGUGGGGAGCAAACAGGAUUAGAUACCCCAGUAGUC
Molecule: ribosomal RNA, 450 nt
Filed under: uncultured bacterium
Lineage: Bacteria
Description: partial 16S ribosomal RNA
Rfam family: Bacterial small subunit ribosomal RNA
Source: RNAcentral